GACGAACGCUGGCGGCGUGCUUAACACAUGCAAGUCGAACGGAAAGGCCCUGCUUUUGUGGGGUGCUCGAGUGGCGAACGGGUGAGUAACACGUGAGUAACCUGCCCUUGACUUUGGGAUAACUUCAGGAAACUGGGGCUAAUACCGGAUAGGAGCUCCUGCUGCAUGGUGGGGGUUGGAAAGUUUCGGCGGUUGGGGAUGGACUCGCGGCUUAUCAGCUUGUUGGUGGGGUAGUGGCUUACCAAGGCUUUGACGGGUAGCCGGCCUGAGAGGGUGACCGGCCACGUUGGGCCUGAGCUACGGCCCAGACUCCUACGGGAGGCAGCAGUGGGGAAUAUUGCACAAUGGGCGGAAGCCUGAUGCAGCAACGCCGCGUGCGGGAUGACGGCCUUCGGGUUGUAAACCGCUUUCGCCUGUGACGAAGCGUGAGUGACGGUAAUGGGUAAAGAAGCACCGGCUAACUACGUG
Molecule: ribosomal RNA, 468 nt
Filed under: uncultured bacterium
Lineage: Bacteria
Description: partial 16S ribosomal RNA
Rfam family: Bacterial small subunit ribosomal RNA
Source: RNAcentral